Daphnia pulicaria is the source of this 447-nucleotide long non-coding RNA. RefSeq lists it as uncharacterized. Lineage: Eukaryota; Metazoa; Arthropoda; Branchiopoda; Diplostraca; Daphniidae. The transcript has 2 exons. The record is from RefSeq and is a predicted model, not a curated record.
UGUCUUGAUUUGAUUUCAAAAUAUUUGUUUGCGGAUAUUUAUUUUUGAUUUUUCUCUUCACUUCCGGCCGGAUAUCCCCCAAAUUUAUUGUCAUCCGUUUCUCUCUCUCUCUCGCCUGGAAAAUUGGGUUUCUCGCGUUGGCAGAAAAUGGGAGAGAAGCUCCUGGAAUGGACUGUGUCGUUGAUAGCAGCCUGGGAUAUUAACGACGGCGGAACACAGCAGACACACACACACUCGUAUCCCAGGGCCCGCCGUUCUCUAUUACGUCGACGAAUUGAUCCAGGGGCGUCCCGUGGCCAAUUAACGACUCGUCUAUUUCGUUGCUUACCAACCGGCUUUUUUUUUUCCUUAUUUUUUCUUUUGUUAACGAGGCCGGUGGAUUGUUGUCGUUCAAAUUGGUGCCGCUCUGCGUGGCGUCGAUCCUUCCGUUACAAGCCGGAAGAAAAA